GCUGGGCGCGGUGGCACUUGCCUGUAGUCCCAGCUACUCGGGAGGCUGAGGUGGGAGAAUUGCUUGAGCCCAGGAGGUUGAGGCUGCAGUGAACCAUGAUGGCGCCACUGCACUCCAGCCUGGGCAACAGAGUGAGACCCUGUCUCAA
RNAcentral lists this non-coding RNA (148 nucleotides) under Gorilla gorilla gorilla (western lowland gorilla). Lineage: Eukaryota; Metazoa; Chordata; Mammalia; Primates; Hominidae. The record is from Rfam by way of RNAcentral.